GGUCCGGUAGUUCAGCUGGUUAGAAUGCCUGCCUGUCACGCAGGAGGUCGCGGGUUCGAGUCCCGUCCUGGACCGCCA
Molecule: transfer RNA, 78 nt
Filed under: Neobacillus sp. PS3-12
Lineage: Bacteria; Bacillati; Bacillota; Bacilli; Caryophanales; Bacillaceae
Description: tRNA-Asp
Rfam family: tRNA
About the family: Transfer RNA (tRNA) molecules are approximately 80 nucleotides in length. Their secondary structure includes four short double-helical elements and three loops (D, anti-codon, and T loops).
Source: RNAcentral